GUGGGGAAUAUUGGACAAUGGGCGAAAGCCUGAUCCAGCCAUGCCGCGUGUGUGAAGAAGGUCUUCGGAUUGUAAAGCACUUUAAGUUGGGAGGAAGGGCAGUAAGUUAAUACCUUGCUGUUUUGACGUUACCGACAGAAUAAGCACCGGCUAACUUCGUGCCAGCAGCCGCGGUAAUACGAAGGGUGCAAGCGUUAAUCGGAAUUACUGGGCGUAAAGCGCGCGUAGGUGGUUUUGUAAGUUGGAGGUGAAAUCCCCGGGCUCAACCUGGGAACUGCCUCCAAAACUGCAUGACUAGAGUACGGUAGAGGGUAGUGGAAUUUCCUGUGUAGCGGUGAAAUGCGUAGAUAUAGGAAGGAACACCAGUGGCGAAGGCGACUACCUGGACUGAUACUGACACUGAGGUGCGAAAGCGUGGGGAGCAAACAGGAUUAGAAACCCGGGUAGUCA
RNAcentral lists this ribosomal RNA (450 nucleotides) under uncultured bacterium. RNAcentral describes it as "partial 16S ribosomal RNA". It matches the Rfam family "Bacterial small subunit ribosomal RNA", at positions 354 to 796 of the family's 1533-position model. The record is from RNAcentral.